UGAAGAAUAUAGUCAACCACUUCCACGUUACAGGUGAGGAACCUGAGGCACCAGUGUUUGAGUAACUAGUCCAAGGUUAUAAAACCAAUAAGUGAAGGAGCUGGACUGUGACCCAAGAAGUUUGCCUCAAGAACUCUCACUCUAAAUUGCUAAAAAUGACUUCCACAAUGUAAAUUUUCUUUUAUGUAAACAUUGUUUCCUAAGUAAAAAUGGUAAAAUAGCCAAUAAUUUGUGAACAAAAACAAAGUGAAGAAAUCAAGCAGGUGCUAUUGUGAACACUAACUUAGACUACUUAAUAAAAUCAUAGAAAG
RNAcentral lists this long non-coding RNA (311 nucleotides) under Marmota monax (woodchuck). The record is from RNAcentral. Lineage: Eukaryota; Metazoa; Chordata; Mammalia; Rodentia; Sciuridae.